GCCCCUUUCUUCUUGAUCUUUUUUCCUUUUUUGAAAUGUGAUUGCACUGUUAUAACAUUUUAAAUCAUUUCCAAUGCAUAGAAAAUGGUUGCUAUUUUGUUGUGUUUUCUUACAACUUCCACUGAUUUAGAAUACUACUUUUUAUUAUCAUUUGUGUAUCAUGUACUCUCCUCCAUUUGUCUACCUAGACUUGUACUUAUAUACAUGAUUCUGAUAAUCAUAACUUUAAAAUAUGCCACAAUGUCUGGUAAGGCAAGGAACAACUAAUCUUGUACGAGCUAGCAUUCAACAGAGGAGGAGAAACAAAAGGAGAUACGUGAAAUAGUGUCCUUUAAUCCACCAUUCCUCUUUCCAUGGUAGCUACUCAUGCUCACAGUGAUCUGAAUAAAAUAAAUGAAAAAUUCCACAAAUCAACAAUUUGUAAAUUUUAAUUGCAUGCUGAUCUGAGUAGUAUGACAAAAUCUCCCACCAUUGUGCUCUGUCCUUCCCAGGACAUAAUCAUUCCUUUGUCCAAUGUAAUCCUCUCUGUAUACCCUACCCUCCCGUUAGUCAUUCAGUAGCCAGCUCAGUUAUCAGAAUGACUGGUCUGGAAUCACAGUAUCACAAUCCUUGUGUUCAAGUAACCCCAUUUUAAUUGGUAAUAGCCCCCAAGCAUAGGAGUAGUAAUGUUGGCAGUUCAGAUAUACCAAAGAGAGGAUGUAAACUGCUUCCUGUAAAAGAAAAAGUGAAAGUUCUCAAUUUAAU
Molecule: long non-coding RNA, 744 nt
Filed under: Marmota monax (woodchuck)
Lineage: Eukaryota; Metazoa; Chordata; Mammalia; Rodentia; Sciuridae
Source: RNAcentral